UGCAAUAAGAAAGGAUUGUAAAAAGCUUACAAACGAUUAAGCAAACUGAAAGGCGCUAUGUGUAGGUGUAUUGAGAUAAUGCGUUUGUCUCCAUACUAAUUCUUUUGACAUUUUGACAUCUCAUCAAAUCUAACGGUAUCAUGUUAAUCGUGGUGAAGCGUUAACACGAUUUGUUUCGUUUUGCGUACAUUUUGACGUUGUUACUCCGACGUUAAAGUCAUAAUUUUGUAUUAGAGUAAAGUCAUUAACAAUCAGUGCGUGUACUAAGCUUGCAAAUUAUUUGCAUUUGUGUUGUGAAAUGUAUUUUGCCAGCGAGUUAUUAUAAAACCAUGGCAUAAACUUGUGAUGUUUGUUUUAAUCAUAACCUCCGUGUUAGCUUCGGCUACUUAUUAAAAUUUGGAUGUACAUGUUGGUGCGGUGCAACAGUACAUUUUGUGGAAAGUGGCUCCCUUCCUUUGUGAAUAGAAAAAAAAUGUUGUGAAAAAGUGUUAGAAGGUUAUGUAUCAAUACGGCCAGGCCGUUCUAUUUGUGUAGAAAGUUGUUUUUUGAUGAAAAAAAAGUUUUAUCUAUUUAUUAAUCGGUCAAUGAUGAAUCGCAAUAUUUGCUUUUUGUGUUAAUUAGUGUAUUGCAAAAUGUUGCCAUUUUAGGCAAUUGUGGUGAUGUAAAUGUGCAAAAGUGCGUUGAAGUGUGCGUGUGCCUUUGGGCACUAAAAAAUGCAAGUUUUAUUUUUUUUUAUGAAAAAAGUGUUGUCCAUUUAUCAAUGAGCAUAAGGUUUAUUGUGUUAAUUAGUUUAUUGAAAAAAUAUGGCCAUUUUAUGCGAGUGUGGUAUUUUGAAUGUGUCAAAGCGCUUUGAAGUGUUAUGUGCCUUAGUGCACAAGAAAAAAGGCAAGUUUGGUUUGUUUUUUGGCGAAAAAAAAGUUCAUAAUUGAGCUUAAGGUUUAUUGUGUUAAUUAGUGUAUCGCAAAAUGUGGCCAUUUUAGGCGGUUUUGGUGAUUUAAAUGUGCAAAAGUGCAUUGAAGUGUGCCACGUGCCUUUGGGCACUGAAAAGAAAAGCAAGUUUGGGUUAUUUUUCAGUGAAAAAAAGUUUUUUCUAUUUAUCAGUGAGCUUAAGGCUCAUUACGUGAAUUAGUGUAUUAAAAAAUAUGGCCGUUUUAUGCGAGUGUGGUGUUGUAAAUGUGCCAAAGUGUGUAUGUGCCUUAGUGCACUGAAAAGAAAAGCAAGUUUUGCUUGUUAUUUUGGGGAAAAAAGUUCAUAAAUGAGCUUAAGGCUUAUUGCGUUAAUUAGUGUAUUAAAAAAUAUGGCCGCUUUUGGCGAGUGUAAAUGUGUCAAAGCGCAUUGAAGUGUGUAUGUGUUAAAAAAUGAAAAUGGCAGUGUGUAAAAGCAAGUUUUAUCUUCCGAAAUAAAUGCUUGGCUGUGGGUUAUGAAAGUGUCCUACAUAUAAACUACCGUAUAGCCGGGUCGUUAUCAACAUUAAUGCCCGGACGGAAUAAUCAUCAUCAAGACAAGGAGCUUGCUGAUAAGACAAAAUACACGUGUGGUCCCGGGCACGUACACGAGCCGACAGAAGGAAGUCUUCCACACCGUCGUAAGUGAAUUCCUUGUACGGUCAAUGGCGGUCACGUGACGGUAUGUAUCCCAGAAGAACGAUGGUUUUUGGGGUGGGUUUUCUUGAUAGGAAGAGCAAACUCUGGUGCUGCUUUGCGGAGAAAGUUGUGAACUUUAGUUAUUAAGCAAAGAAACUGGGAUCGGUACUGUGGCUAAUUAGUGUAUCCUUACGCUCGGUUUGUCCUUUCUAUCGGCAGCCCAGCAACACAUGGGCACAUGGCUUUGAAGUAGAAGCUGCAAGACUCUCUGGUAACUGAUUUUAUCAUAUCCCGAGUGUACAUCUUUAACUCUUCCUAACUACGUUCGUUGCAAAUCAAUUGUUCGACCACAUCGGACGGACUUCUACUUGUAUUCCUUGGAACGGUGAAUGGGAUGGGCGUCGAGUUCAAGAAUAGACGAGAACGGACAUAAUCUCGAUAGCCAUUGACCGAAGUCUUACACAUGGAGACAUCGGAGAACCGACCGGACAUGGCAUCGAACGUACGAUGACGAAGAUGAAGGUACUGAUGUGCCACUUGGACUCUUAAGUCAUCGACUAAGAAGUGGCAUCGAGUGCAUCCUUCGAAAGUUAAACUGAUUAUUCUGGUCAGGCAAGCAGCGUGUCGCAAAUGCAAUGAUAGUUGUGUAAGUGUUGCCGUCUGGUAGAAAACGGAAUCGGGGGAAGAAGAAAAAAAAACAUUACCAACACCUAGCUUUUGUGGAAGGAGAAUUCUUCCUGGGAGAGUAUCCUCUUGUUGCAGGAUUUCACAAGCUUUAGCUUCUUGGAACGAUGACCGAGAAGUUGUGUAUCAUUGUACGAGCAGGUGAGUUUGGGUAUUCUUCAAUAUCCUGAUGAUUGUGUACACAGUAAGAUACAUUAAAGCUAAGCAUUUAUUGACAAAUGAAGGAAACUUUUGGGAUUGGAUCUUAAAGAUCCUUUUACCCUACAUCUAAUAAUGGAAUGACUAACUCUAUUGCUUAGAAAAAGAGUCUCAAAACCAGAAUUCGUUAACACUACAAAAUAUCCGCAUUGCGGUGCAGAUUCACGCCCCAAAAAUACUCGUUUACAUUCGCCUGUGAUAGAGAUUUUAUGUGUUCCGUGAGUUCCUUUCCCUUUCACUCUAUUCUGUUUUGCAAGCCCGCAAAGCGAGCUAGUCGAUCGAUCUAAUUAGGUUCCCUUUUAGAAGACGUUUAGCAUACAAAUGAAGUAUCCAUUCGCUUUCCAUAACGCUCGUAUAGAAUGAGCUGGAAUGCGUUGGUGUCCGUUCCAUGGACAUCUUGUACUGUUGAGACCCUUCAACAAAAUCGCUAAACAUCAAAGCAACACACCGGCGCGUAUCAGAUUCCAAAGCCGAUGGUUGUUGAAAGUUGUGAUUUGGAAAGUUUUC
Molecule: long non-coding RNA, 2972 nt
Organism: Anopheles funestus (African malaria mosquito)
Lineage: Eukaryota; Metazoa; Arthropoda; Insecta; Diptera; Culicidae
Exons: 3
Source: RefSeq, a predicted model, not a curated record